Molecule: long non-coding RNA, 800 nt
Organism: Asparagus officinalis (garden asparagus)
Lineage: Eukaryota; Viridiplantae; Streptophyta; Magnoliopsida; Asparagales; Asparagaceae
Exons: 2
Source: RefSeq, a predicted model, not a curated record
GGAUUCGAAUCGAGGGUUAAAAUGGUUGGCAUUCUCGUUGUUGUGGGAUCUCGGCUCGUGGUUGUGGGGAGUUUCUUUCGUUGUUCGGCUUUUCCUUAGCAGCCUAUAUAUGGCCCAUUCUUUCAUGUGAUUGCUAGUUGCAGACAUGUUUGCAUUUGUGGUGCUCUUAUCGUCUAUUGAUUGAUCUAAUUUAUUCCAAAUUGUUGGAGAAACCUCUGUGCAUGCAUUACUAUGCCUAACCUGAUCAGAUGUUUUCUUGGUUUGUCUAUAUAUUAGGCAUUUGAUAAGAGUCGAUGAAGAGCUGGUGUGGGACUUGUUCUGCUAUCUUGGGCUCUUAUGAUCUCCAAGCGAUCAUAAGAAAAAUCUUUGGAGAUCUGUAGAAAAAUCUUUGGAGAUCUUCGAGUAGUACCAAUGAUCCAGGUUAAGACAGAAGAUUAACAUAAGCUGUUGAACUUCAAAGGCGAUGUUGCGGGUCAAUCAAACUGAUAAAUGUACUUGGAUAGUGAGCAAACUUGUUAAUGAGCAUACAAAUCACGAGUUGACUAGUCCAGAUAAGGUUAAAAAUCUUCAUUCACAUCGAAAGUUAUUGGAUAAUUCCUUGUGCUUGAAUAUUUCCUGUGUCAGUGUCAUGUACGUGUUUGCUUCCUUUUUAUAUUCGUUCCUUCAUUCUGUGUGUGUAAUAUGUAUGCUAACUUCUCUAUUUAACGAGUAACUAUGGUAUUGUGUACCUGUGUGUAUGUAAUAAGUCUGUUAAAUUCUCUAUUAUCUUUCCUUCUCUAUUAAUUAUGGUUUUGUGUUCC